Solanum stenotomum is the source of this 215-nucleotide long non-coding RNA. RefSeq lists it as uncharacterized. The transcript is spliced from 2 exons. Lineage: Eukaryota; Viridiplantae; Streptophyta; Magnoliopsida; Solanales; Solanaceae. The record is from RefSeq and is a predicted model, not a curated record.
AUGUCUUCAAAUUUACACAGGUUGGAACCUUCUAUAAUAUGCUCUAGUUUCAUAACCAAGUCUUUCAGAAAUGAUGUUGAUCCCAAUGGAAUCAAUUGGAAAAGUGUUUCAAAGGAUGUAAAAUAUGGUUAUUUUGGAGAAUUUAAGAAAAAAUUCUAUUGGGAUGUUUCUAUUAGUGAAAAUGAAGUGAAGAGACACUGGUUGGUCAAGGCGGC